AAGGCGAAAAGAACCCCGGCGAGGGGAGUGAAAAAGAACCUGAAACCGUGUACGUACAAGCAGUGGGAGCACAGGUUUACCUGUGUGACUGCGUACCUUUUGUAUAAUGGGUCAGCGACUUAUAUUCUGUAGCAAGGUUAACCGAAUAGGGGAGCCGGAGGGAAACCGAGUCUUAACCGGGCGUUAAGUUGCAGGGUAUAGACCCGAAACCCGGUGAUCUAGCCAUGGGCAGGUUGAAGGUUGGGUAACACUAACUGGAGGACCGAACCGACUAAUGUUGAAAAAUUAGCGGAUGACCUGUGGCUGGGGGUGAAAGGCCAAUCAAACCGGGAGAUAGCUGGUUCUCCCCGAAAGCUAUUUAGGUAGCGCCUCGUGAACUCAUCUCCGGGGGUAGAGCACUGUUUCGGCUAGGGGGCCAUCCCGGCUUACCAACCCGAUGCAAACUGCGAAUACCGGAGAAUGUUAUCACGGGAGACACACGGCGGGUGCUAACGUCCGUCGUGAAGAGGGAAACAACCCAGACCGCCAGCUAAGGUCCCAAAGUCAUGGUUAAGUGGGAAACGAUGUGGGAAGGCCCAGACAGCCAGGAUGUUGGCUUAGAAGCAGCCAUCAUUUAAAGAAAGCGUAAUAGCUCACUGGUCGAGUCGGCCUGCGCGGAAGAUGUAACGGGGCUAAACCAUGCACCGAAGCUGCGGCAGCGACGCUGAUGCGUUGUUGGGUAGGGGAGCGUUCUGUAAGCCUGCGAAGGUGGCCUGUGAGGGUUGCUGGAGGUAUCAGAAGUGCGAAUGCUGACAUAAGUAACGAUAAAGCGGGUGAAAAGCCCGCUCGCCGGAAGACCAAGGGUUCCUGUCCAACGUUAAUCGGGGCAGGGUGAGUCGACCCCUAAGGCGAGGCCGAAAGGCGUAGUCGAUGGGAAACGGGUUAAUAUUCCCGUACUUGGUGUUACUGCGAAGGGGGGACGGAGAAGGCUAUGUUGGCCGGGCGACGGUUGUCCCGGUUUAAGCGUGUAGGUGUGUGUUCCAGGUAAAUCCGGUUCACUUUAACACUGAGGCGUGAUGACGAGGCACUACGGUGCUGAAGCAACAAAUGCCCUGCUUCCAGGAAAAGCCUCUAAGCAUCAGGUAACAUCAAAUCGUACCCCAAACCGACACAGGUGGUCAGGUAGAGAAUACCAAGGCGCUUGAGAGAACUCGGGUGAAGGAACUAGGCAAAAUGGUGCCGUAACUUCGGGAG
Molecule: ribosomal RNA, 1233 nt
Filed under: Salmonella enterica subsp. enterica serovar Muenster str. CFSAN004344
Lineage: Bacteria; Pseudomonadati; Pseudomonadota; Gammaproteobacteria; Enterobacterales; Enterobacteriaceae
Description: bacterial LSU rRNA
Rfam family: Bacterial large subunit ribosomal RNA
Source: RNAcentral